AAUAGUGCGUUGCUAUAUUAGCAAAACCUAAUAAGGAGCUAUUUAAAAAAGAUAAUUUUUGUUUUAAGGAAUACAAUCCUCGAAAUGGGGCGGAAAAACAAGGCCCGAAUAACAGAAAUUAAAAUUCUAAGCAAGGCCAGAAUACGAAAAGAAAUAACGAUAAACAACCAAAUAAUAAUACAAGUUUUGAAACCGGAUAUAAUCGUGGCUAACCCGGGUAUAUUAAAAACGAACUUUCGCCCAAUGGAAUAGAAGGAAAUGGUUUGAAAUAAACGCCUUUUAACAAUAACGAAAAACCAUUGGUUCCUUUUCCUGGAAACGCUCCGGAUGGAAACGUUAAAACUAUAGGGUGGUUCGGUGGUUGGGGUAUUAGAUAUAUUAAUAUAUAUAAUAAUAAAAGCGCUCCGACGUAUCGCAUUAAAAAGUACUGUUAUCCCCCAAAUUACAAAAAUGAAAAAUAUACGAUAUAUUAAAAACAGAAUAUUUCCAACCAGGAAAACAAAUAUGGAGAAAAAAUGGAAAACGGUAAAUAUAAAUAUACCGGGCGUUAUAUAUUUGGAAUUUACGGGGUUGCCUGGAUACGUAAUUUGGAUAUUUCCCCGCAUAAACUGGAUUUAAUCGAUCCGCAGCGGAAAAAGAAACCUAACAUUUAUAUCUUCGUUAAAUGGAAAAUUAAUGGGAAAAAAAUAAAAUCCUGGGAAACGCGGACCUAUAUUCGACAAUUGUGGAAAAAGUUAAAGAAAACAAACCAGGUUAUUUACAAUGCGGCGUUUAAGGCCGAAAACAAAUAUAGGAUAACUUAGGGCUUGGGGCGUUUAAACAGCCGGUCGCCGUUUGUCGGCCUUAUCCACAAUAUAAUUAAAUAAAAGCGAGCGGAAUUCCUAAAUCCAGUUUUAUCAAUUUAAAAGCGCGUUAAAAUACCAAAUUAGACGGCCAAUCCCAUUCCGGCAAAUAUUUCGAUCGCCCAACUUUUUACAAUAUUUCCGGUUUCCGGAGGUACAGUUGCGAAACACACGGUAUCCAUAUAUCCAAUCGCAUCGGCCCUUUCCCAUGGUAUAAUAUCGCCCGAUUACGCACCCAUUCAAAUAACUAAUUUCAAUCCGAUAAAAUUUAUUCCCAUAUUUAACCAGUUUUUUAACUUUAUAUAAUCCGCUCAGGCCUUUACCCCGGCUACGUUAUAUAUAUAAAUCGUGCCUUUUAUUUAUUUACUGGUUUUAACACCUUUCAAAUUCCCUAAUAUUUGGUAAUUUGUUUAAUAUUAAAUUAAUAUAACCAGCCCUUUUCAGUUAUUUGGUUUUAUUUUAGCAUUAUAUAAAAUGGAAUACCGUCUUAGGAUAAAUUAAUCCCUUUAAAAACUUUAUAAUUCGAAAAACCAUUUUCCAGGAUAUAUAUAUAUAUAUAUAAUGGCAAAUAUUUAAUUCCCUGUAACAGUUUUUUUCCCCUUUGUUUAUCCUCUGACAAAAACGGCCCUUGCGAAUUAUUUCACCUUAUAUAGCUGGUUUGGUCCUUGUAACUUUGGCUAAAAGGUAAUAUCGGUGGGCAAAUUAUAAAUUAUUUGCAUUCCGAAAAAUAGAAAAUAAAAACUUUUGCCGUUAUCCGAAACAUAAUAUUAAUCUAUUAAGAGCGAUGGGGAACAGUUAUUAAAAUUAUAAAAAUUGCUAAUAUUUGCAACUAAACCUCGUAGCGAAUUUAUUUUUACCACCAAAACUUUUAGGAAUUCCUAAAUAUCUUUCACAUUUUCCUUCAAACCAAGGACUAAAUCGUUAACUUUUCUAAUUUCUUACCGGUAUUCCGAACAAUAAUUCCUUAUGCAAAUCGGACCCGAAAAAAAAUAUAAUUCUAAUAUCUUAUUUUCAGAAGAAAUAUUUUUAUCAGGCAUAAUAAAGUCGAUUAGACUCCCGGUGCUGUCGGAAUUAACGGAGCUGACUUUUUCAACUAAUUAAUUAAUAAAUCUUUGCCCCAUAAUUAAUAUACGGUCGUUUUCGACACCCUGUCGCUUACCGCUAAAUAAUUUGCUGGAACGCAUAUUUGCUGUUAAUAUUAAAUAGGAGUAGUAUAGCUGGUAUUGUAAUGUA
This 2075-nucleotide small RNA is filed under the name Pyricularia oryzae. RNAcentral's name for it is "Magnaporthe oryzae sRNA M_BR32_EuGene_00146991". Lineage: Eukaryota; Fungi; Ascomycota; Sordariomycetes; Magnaporthales; Pyriculariaceae. The record is from RNAcentral.